GCUCUUGUGGCUCAGCGGUAGAGCACUCCCUUGGUAAGGGAGAGGUCACGUGUUCGAUUCACGUCAAGAGCACCA
RNAcentral lists this transfer RNA (75 nucleotides) under Glaciimonas sp. RNAcentral describes it as "tRNA-Thr". It matches the Rfam family "tRNA". Rfam says of the family: Transfer RNA (tRNA) molecules are approximately 80 nucleotides in length. Their secondary structure includes four short double-helical elements and three loops (D, anti-codon, and T loops). Further hydrogen bonds mediate the characteristic L-shaped molecular structure. tRNAs have two regions of fundamental functional importance: the anti-codon, which is responsible for specific mRNA codon recognition, and the 3' end, to which the tRNAs corresponding amino acid is attached (by aminoacyl-tRNA synthetases). tRNAs cope with the degeneracy of the genetic code in two manners: having more than one tRNA (with a specific anti-codon) for a particular amino acid; and 'wobble' base-pairing, i.e. permitting non-standard base-pairing at the 3rd anti-codon position. Lineage: Bacteria; Pseudomonadati; Pseudomonadota; Betaproteobacteria; Burkholderiales; Oxalobacteraceae. The record is from RNAcentral.